CCGUCGAUAGCUCAGUUGGUAGAGCGGAGGACUGUAGAGUUUGCAGAUAUCCUUAGGUCACUGGUUCGAAUCCGGUUCGACGGA
Molecule: transfer RNA, 84 nt
Filed under: Caenorhabditis elegans
Lineage: Eukaryota; Metazoa; Nematoda; Chromadorea; Rhabditida; Rhabditidae
Rfam family: tRNA
About the family: Transfer RNA (tRNA) molecules are approximately 80 nucleotides in length. Their secondary structure includes four short double-helical elements and three loops (D, anti-codon, and T loops).
Source: Rfam by way of RNAcentral